RNAcentral lists this unclassified non-coding RNA (253 nucleotides) under Alphaproteobacteria bacterium. RNAcentral's name for it is "contains 16S-23S intergenic spacer region". It matches the Rfam family "Bacterial small subunit ribosomal RNA", at positions 524 to 776 of the family's 1533-position model. Lineage: Bacteria; Pseudomonadati; Pseudomonadota; Alphaproteobacteria. The record is from RNAcentral.
UACGGAGGGUGCAAGCGUUGUCCGGAAUCACUGGGCGUAAAGCGCGCGUAGGCGGGUCAGUCAGUCAGGGGUGAAAUCCCGGGGCUCAACCUCGGAACUGCCUUUGAUACUGCUGACCUAGAGAUCGAGAGAGGUGAGUGGAAUUCCUAGUGUAGAGGUGAAAUUCGUAGAUAUUAGGAAGAACACCAGUGGCGAAGGCGGCUCACUGGCUCGAUUCUGACGCUGAGGUGCGAAAGCGUGGGGAGCAAACAGG